Oryza meridionalis is the source of this 205-nucleotide non-coding RNA. Lineage: Eukaryota; Viridiplantae; Streptophyta; Magnoliopsida; Poales; Poaceae. The record is from Rfam.
AAUAAGAACAGCAAUGAGUUUCUGCGCCCAACUUUGAUCGUCCGUCUUAUUUGAAUUUUUUUUAUAAUUAGCAUUUUUGUUGCUAUGAGAUGAUAAAAUAUGAAUAGUACUUUACUUGUGACUUAUAUUUUUAAUUUUUUUCGAAAAAAUUUUAAAUAAAACGAACGGUUAAAGUUGGGCGUGGAAAACCAUGGCUGCACUUAUU